This 495-nucleotide long non-coding RNA is filed under the name Homo sapiens (human). RNAcentral's name for it is "non-protein coding lnc-C9orf57-1:1". Lineage: Eukaryota; Metazoa; Chordata; Mammalia; Primates; Hominidae. The record is from RNAcentral.
AUGAAAGAAACGAUCAUGAACCAGGAAAAACUCGCCAAACUGCAGGCACGAAUGCGCAUUGGUGGGAAAGGAACUGCUCACAGAAAGAAGGUGGUGGUUCAUAGAACAGCCACAGCAGAUGUUCAAAAACUUCAGUUCUCCUUAAAGAAGUGAGGGGUAAACAAUAUCUCUGGUAUUGAAGAGGUGACUAUGUUUACAAACCAAGGAACAGUGAUCCACUUUAACCACCCUAAGGUUCAGGCAUCUCUGGCAGCGAACACUUCACCAUUACAGGCCAUGCUGGGACAAAGCAGCUGACAGAAAUGCUAGCCAGCGUCUUAAACCAGCUUGGUGCAGACAGUCCGUCUAGUUUAAGGAGACUGGCUGAAGCUCUGCCCAAACAAUCUGUGGAUGGAAAAGCACCACUUGCUACUGGAGAGGAUGAUGGUGAUGAUGAUGAAGUUCCAGAGCUUGUGGAGAAUUUUGAUGAGGCUUCCAAGAAUGAGGCAAACUGAA